Molecule: ribosomal RNA, 617 nt
Filed under: Escherichia coli
Lineage: Bacteria; Pseudomonadati; Pseudomonadota; Gammaproteobacteria; Enterobacterales; Enterobacteriaceae
Description: partial 23S ribosomal RNA
Rfam family: Bacterial large subunit ribosomal RNA
Source: RNAcentral
CAAGGGGGUCAUCCCGACUUACCAACCCGAUGCAAACUGCGAAUACCGGAGAAUGUUAUCACGGGAGACACACGGCGGGUGCUAACGUCCGUCGUGAAGAGGGAAACAACCCAGACCGCCAGCUAAGGUCCCAAAGUCAUGGUUAAGUGGGAAACGAUGUGGGAAGGCCCAGACAGCCAGGAUGUUGGCUUAGAAGCAGCCAUCAUUUAAAGAAAGCGUAAUAGCUCACUGGUCGAGUCGGCCUGCGCGGAAGAUGUAACGGGGCUAAACCAUGCACCGAAGCUGCGGCAGCGACGCUGAUGCGUUGUUGGGUAGGGGAGCGUUCUGUAAGCCUGCGAAGGUGUGCUGUGAGGCAUGCUGGAGGUAUCAGAAGUGCGAAUGCUGACAUAAGUAACGAUAAAGCGGGUGAAAAGCCCGCUCGCCGGAAGACCAAGGGUUCCUGUCCAACGUUAAUCGGGGCAGGGUGAGUCGACCCCUAAGGCGAGGCCGAAAGGCGUAGUCGAUGGGAAACAGGUUAAUAUUCCUGUACUUGGUGUUACUGCGAAGGGGGGACGGAGAAGGCUAUGUUGGCCGGGCGACGGUUGUCCCGGUUUAAGCGUGUAGGCUGGUUUUCCAGG